RNAcentral lists this ribosomal RNA (549 nucleotides) under Triticum aestivum (bread wheat). RNAcentral describes it as "partial small subunit ribosomal RNA". The record is from RNAcentral. Lineage: Eukaryota; Viridiplantae; Streptophyta; Magnoliopsida; Poales; Poaceae.
AUGGUGCCCAAGGAGCUCAUCACGCAGCGCCUCCAGUCCGGCGCCGCCACGGGCCGCUCCUGGCAGAUCCUGCAGACCGACGGCUUCUUCGGGCUCUACGCCGGCUACGCCGCCACGCUCCUCCGCAACCUCCCCGCCGGCGUGUCAGCUACUCCUCCUUCGAGUACCUCAAGGCCUUCGCCCUCAGCAAGAGCAACGGCGCCAACCUGGCGCCGGGGGAGAGCGUGCUGUGCGCUGUGCGGCGCCCUCGCCGGCGCGAUAUCCGCCGGGCUCACCACCCCGCUCGACGUCGUCAAGACGCGGCUGAUGACCAGGGUGGGCACCCAGGGGAGCCGCACGGUGGUGGGCACGAUGCAGGAGAUCAUCGCCGAGGAAGGCCUGAUGGGCCUGUCCCGGGGGAUCGGGCCGAGGGUCCUGCACAGCGCCUGCUUCGCUGCGAUUGGCUACUGCGCUUUUGAGACCGCCAGGCUCAUGAUCCUCAAGUCAUACCUUGAAUCGUGCGAAAGGAAAGCCGCGGAUGAGGUGAAGACCGGAGUUGCUGCUGCUUGA